RNAcentral lists this ribosomal RNA (684 nucleotides) under Montenegrina helvola. RNAcentral's name for it is "partial 12S ribosomal RNA". The record is from RNAcentral. Lineage: Eukaryota; Metazoa; Mollusca; Gastropoda; Stylommatophora; Clausiliidae.
ACACUGAAAAGAAUACUAUUCAAUUUUUAUUUAUUUUUUUAAUAAGUAUACUUUUAAGUCCAUCUUUUAAAAGGUGUUAAAGCUUUUAGCCGAAAAAAAAAUUUAUUGUAACUCGCCUUAAUUACUUACUUAUGGGCUGCACUUUGAUUUGUAUUUUUCUUUAGAUAAGAUGUAGAAUUUGCUUUUGGCAGAUCCUAUACAACGGUAUACAAGCUAUCUUAAGUAAGGAGUAUUUACUUGGUGGCUGUCAAUUAUAUGGUAAGUUCCCCUAAAAAAUUCAUACAGCCGCCAUAAUGUUUAAGUUUGGGCCUUAUAGUAAGUGCUAGUCCUUGUCUUAUAAAUUUAGUUUCCGAAUAAUUGGGUAUCUAAUCCAGGUUUUUAUAUGGGAGCUUAGUAAGAUGAAUAAUAAAGUUAGGGCUUCAAGCAUUUAUAGUAUUUCACUACAUAUAAAUUUUUUUUAUAUAUUUACAACUAAUGACAAUAAUUAUAAACUAAUCUAUUAGGUUUGACCGCGGUUGCUGGCACCUAAUAAACCUAGACUAAAUAACUAGCUAAAUUUAAAUUUCUUUAAUUUAUUAAUAUUUUUAACUGAGAAAAUUAUCUAUACCUCAUAUUAUACUAUGUUGUAUGCUUAUAGUUUCAUCAAAUUAAAGUGACUUUUAAGGGGGUAAUUACCAUUUUAGG